Molecule: transfer RNA, 78 nt
Filed under: Streptomyces griseofuscus
Lineage: Bacteria; Bacillati; Actinomycetota; Actinomycetes; Kitasatosporales; Streptomycetaceae
Description: tRNA-Gln
Source: RNAcentral
CGUGGUGGGCGACCACCUGGGAGGCGGCGGCGCUCUGGUCGCUGCCGAGCGGGGUGAGUUCGAGGUCCUCGGCUGCGA